Molecule: unclassified non-coding RNA, 18 nt
Filed under: Dictyostelium discoideum
Lineage: Eukaryota; Evosea; Eumycetozoa; Dictyosteliales; Dictyosteliaceae
Source: RNAcentral
UCCAAAAGAUCGUAACUA